UCAAAGAAGUGGAGAGGAGGCAGAGGGCGGUCGGAGAGGCGUAGGGCUGAGCUCGAAGGCGAGCAGCGAGCUAGAAAAAGGGAGAAAGAGAGAUUGAGAGAAAAAGAGAUUGAAAAAAGAAAGCGACUGAGACUCUGAGAGAGAGCGAUUGAAAGAAGAGAGAGAAACAAAAACAGAAAGAGAAAGAGACAACAUGAGUUG
Molecule: long non-coding RNA, 201 nt
Filed under: Ananas comosus (pineapple)
Lineage: Eukaryota; Viridiplantae; Streptophyta; Magnoliopsida; Poales; Bromeliaceae
Description: long non-coding RNA (ACOM_LNC028153)
Source: RNAcentral